This 490-nucleotide ribosomal RNA is filed under the name uncultured bacterium. RNAcentral's name for it is "partial 16S ribosomal RNA". It matches the Rfam family "Bacterial small subunit ribosomal RNA", at positions 30 to 507 of the family's 1533-position model. The record is from RNAcentral.
AUUGAACGCUGGCGGCAGGCCUAACACAUGCAAGUCGAACGGUAACAGGAAGCAGCUUGCUGCUUUGCUGACGAGUGGCGGACGGGUGAGUAAUGUCUGGGAAACUGCCUGAUGGAGGGGGAUAACUACUGGAAACGGUAGCUAAUACCGCAUAACGUCGCAAGACCAAAGAGGGGGACCUUCGGGCCUCUUGCCAUCGGAUGUGCCCAGAUGGGAUUAGCUUGUUGGUGGGGUAACGGCUCACCAAGGCGACGAUCCCUAGCUGGUCUGAGAGGAUGACCAGCCACACUGGAACUGAGACACGGUCCAGACUCCUACGGGAGGCAGCAGUGGGGAAUAUUGCACAAUGGGCGCAAGCCUGAUGCAGCCAUGCCGCGUGUAUGAAGAAGGCCUUCGGGUUGUAAAGUACUUUCAGCGGGGAGGAAGGGAGUAAAGUUAAUACCUUUACUCAUUGACGUUACCCGCAGGAGAAGCACCGGCUAACUCCGUG